Molecule: ribosomal RNA, 451 nt
Filed under: uncultured bacterium
Lineage: Bacteria
Description: partial 16S ribosomal RNA
Rfam family: Bacterial small subunit ribosomal RNA
Source: RNAcentral
GUGGGGAAUAUUGGACAAUGGGGGGAACCCUGAUCCAGCCAUGCCGCGUGUGUGAAGAAGGCCUUUUGGUUGUAAAGCACUUUAAGCGAGGAGGAGGCUACCGAGAUUAAUACUCUUGGAUAGUGGACGUUACUCGCAGAAUAAGCACCGGCUAACUCUGUGCCAGCAGCCGCGGUAAUACAGAGGGUGCGAGCGUUAAUCGGAUUUACUGGGCGUAAAGCGUGCGUAGGCGGCUUUUUAAGUCGGAUGUGAAAUCCCUGAGGUUAACUUAGGAAUUGCAUUCGAUACUGGGAAGCUAGAGUAUGGGAGAGGAUGGUAGAAUUCCAGGUGUAGCGGUGAAAUGCGUAGAGAUCUGGAGGAAUACCGAUGGCGAAGGCAGCCAUCUGGCCUAAUACUGACGCUGAGGUACGAAAGCAUGGGGAGCAAACAGGAUUAGAAACCCCAGUAGUCC